UACGAAGGGAGCUAGCGUUGUUCGGAAUCACUGGGCGUAAAGCGCACGUAGGCGGACGUGUCAGUCAGGGGUGAAAUCCCGGAGCUCAACUUCGGAACUGCCUUUGAUACAGCACGUCUUGAGUCCGGAAGAGGUGGGUGGAAUUCCUAGUGUAGAGGUGAAAUUCGUAGAUAUCGGGAGGAACACCGGUGGCGAAGGCGGCGACCUGGGUCGAGACUGACGCUGAGGCGCGAAAGCGUGGGGAGCAAACAGG
This 253-nucleotide ribosomal RNA is filed under the name uncultured bacterium. Its description in RNAcentral is "partial 16S ribosomal RNA". It matches the Rfam family "Bacterial small subunit ribosomal RNA", at positions 524 to 776 of the family's 1533-position model. The record is from RNAcentral.